This 567-nucleotide ribosomal RNA is filed under the name Amanita verrucosivolva. RNAcentral describes it as "LSU rRNA". It matches the Rfam family "Eukaryotic large subunit ribosomal RNA", at positions 76 to 635 of the family's 3401-position model. The record is from RNAcentral. Lineage: Eukaryota; Fungi; Basidiomycota; Agaricomycetes; Agaricales; Amanitaceae.
CCCUUUAGUAACUGCGAGUGAAGUGGGAAAAGCUCAAAUUUAAAAUCUGGCAGUCUGAUUUUUCAUCUUUGGCUGUCCGAGUUGUAAUCUAGAGAAGUGCUACCUGUGCUGGACCAUGUAUAAGUCUCCUGGGAUGGAGCGUCAYAGAGGGUGAGAAUCCCGUCUUUGACAUGGACUCCCGGUGCGUUGUGGUAUACUUUCAAAGAGUCGAGUUGUUUGGGAAUGCAGCUCUAAAUGGGUGGUAAACUCCAUCUAAAGCUAAAUAUUGGCGAGAGACCGAUAGUGAACAAGUACCGUGAGGGAAAGAUGAAAAGUACUUUGGAAAGAGAGUUAAACAGUAUGUGAAAUUGUUGAAAGGGAAACACUUGAUGUCAGUUGUGUUAGCUAGGGAUCAACCGAGCUCUUUUGCUAGGUGAAUUUCCUGGUCUGACAGGCCAACAUCAGUUUUGACUGCUGGAAAAAGGYGGGAGGAAUGUGGCACCUUUSGGUGUGUUAUAGCUUUCUGUCAAAUGCAGCAGUUGGGACUGAGGGAUGCNNCGUGCCGCNAGGCUUGGGUUUCGACCACGU